This 605-nucleotide ribosomal RNA is filed under the name Shigella sonnei. RNAcentral's name for it is "bacterial SSU rRNA". It matches the Rfam family "Bacterial small subunit ribosomal RNA", at positions 921 to 1526 of the family's 1533-position model. Lineage: Bacteria; Pseudomonadati; Pseudomonadota; Gammaproteobacteria; Enterobacterales; Enterobacteriaceae. The record is from RNAcentral.
CCGCACAAGCGGUGGAGCAUGUGGUUUAAUUCGAUGCAACGCGAAGAACCUUACCUGGUCUUGACAUCCACAGAACUUUCCAGAGAUGGAUUGGUGCCUUCGGGAACUGUGAGACAGGUGCUGCAUGGCUGUCGUCAGCUCGUGUUGUGAAAUGUUGGGUUAAGUCCCGCAACGAGCGCAACCCUUAUCCUUUGUUGCCAGCGGUCCGGCCGGGAACUCAAAGGAGACUGCCAGUGAUAAACUGGAGGAAGGUGGGGAUGACGUCAAGUCAUCAUGGCCCUUACGACCAGGGCUACACACGUGCUACAAUGGCGCAUACAAAGAGAAGCGACCUCGCGAGAGCAAGCGGACCUCAUAAAGUGCGUCGUAGUCCGGAUUGGAGUCUGCAACUCGACUCCAUGAAGUCGGAAUCGCUAGUAAUCGUGGAUCAGAAUGCCACGGUGAAUACGUUCCCGGGCCUUGUACACACCGCCCGUCACACCAUGGGAGUGGGUUGCAAAAGAAGUAGGUAGCUUAACCUUCGGGAGGGCGCUUACCACUUUGUGAUUCAUGACUGGGGUGAAGUCGUAACAAGGUAACCGUAGGGGAACCUGCGGUUGGAUCAC